AAGGAUCAUUACUGAAGUUCUACUCUUGAAGCUGUCGCUGGCCUCUAGAGGCGUGUGCACGCUUCAUAGAGUUCUUCAACACCUAUUUCAUCACCCGUGCACCAUGUGUAGGCUUUAAGGAAUCUUGUCAAGAAUACUUGGACGGGUGGACUUUGCAAAGUUCGCCCCCUCCUCCCCCCCUAUUUUCAUAUAGGGGUUAGGGGUUAGGGGCUCUCUAGCUCUGUCCCACAAUUUUCUUUGCCUAUGUUUUCUGUACACACACACUUGUUGCAUGUUCAGAAUGUAUUGUUGGAUAAUGAUAUUAACUUGUACAACUUUCAACAACGGAUCUCUUGGCUCUCGCAUCGAUGAAGAACGCAGCGAAAUGCGAUAAGUAAUGUGAAUUGCAGAAUUCAGUGAAUCAUCGAAUCUUUGAACGCACCUUGCGCCACUUGGUAUUCCGAGGGGCAUGCCUGUUUGAGUGUCAUUAAAAUCAAUCAACCCCCCUUCAACAUGUUCAGAUGUUGAAGUGGGCUUGGAUUUUUGGGGGCUUUUGUGCCGGCUUCUCUCUGCAGCCAGCUCCCCUUAAAUGCAUUAGCAGAACCGCUCAUGGUGGCUGACAAGACACGGCGUGAUAAAGUUAUCAGUGCCUAGGUCAACUGUAACUAUGGGGGUGGGUUCAGCUUCCAACAAGGUCCCAUAGGACAACUUGCUGACGAUUUGACCUCAAAUCAGGUAGGACUACCCGCUGAACUUAAGCAUAUCAAUAAGCGGAGGA
RNAcentral lists this ribosomal RNA (757 nucleotides) under Cantharocybe brunneovelutina. RNAcentral describes it as "eukaryotic LSU rRNA". The stretch from base 313 to 466 matches the Rfam family "5.8S ribosomal RNA". The record is from RNAcentral. Lineage: Eukaryota; Fungi; Basidiomycota; Agaricomycetes; Agaricales; Hygrophoraceae.